This 253-nucleotide ribosomal RNA is filed under the name uncultured bacterium. Its description in RNAcentral is "partial 16S ribosomal RNA". It matches the Rfam family "Bacterial small subunit ribosomal RNA", at positions 524 to 776 of the family's 1533-position model. The record is from RNAcentral.
GACGAAGGUGGCAAGCGUUGUUCGGAUUCACUGGGCAUAAAGGGCGCGUAGGCGGUUCCGAAAGGGGCAUGUGAAAUCCCCCGGCUCAACCGGGGAAGUGCGUGCCAAACUUCGGUGCUAGAGGGCGGUAGGGGGGACUGGAACUCUCGGUGGAGCGGUGAAAUGCAUAGAUACCAUUAAGAACACCGAUUGCGAAGGCAGCUUACUAUAGUGUAACUGACGCUGAGGCACGAAAGUGUGGGGAUCAAACAGG